UACGUAUGGUGCAAGCGUUAUCCGGAUUUACUGGGUGUAAAGGGAGCGUAGGCGGCACGUUAAGUCUGAUGUGAAAACCCGAGGCUCAACCACGGGAGUGCAUUGGAAACUGGCGUGCUGGAGUGCCGGAGAGGUAAGCGGAAUUCCUAGUGUAGCGGUGAAAUGCGUAGAUAUUAGGAGGAACACCAGUGGCGAAGGCGGCUUACUGGACGGCAACUGACGCUGAGGCUCGAAAGCGUGGGGAGCAAACAGG
This 253-nucleotide ribosomal RNA is filed under the name uncultured bacterium. RNAcentral describes it as "partial 16S ribosomal RNA". It matches the Rfam family "Bacterial small subunit ribosomal RNA", at positions 524 to 776 of the family's 1533-position model. The record is from RNAcentral.